Molecule: transfer RNA, 71 nt
Filed under: Stegodyphus mimosarum
Lineage: Eukaryota; Metazoa; Arthropoda; Arachnida; Araneae; Eresidae
Rfam family: tRNA
About the family: Transfer RNA (tRNA) molecules are approximately 80 nucleotides in length. Their secondary structure includes four short double-helical elements and three loops (D, anti-codon, and T loops). Further hydrogen bonds mediate the characteristic L-shaped molecular structure. tRNAs have two regions of fundamental functional importance: the anti-codon, which is responsible for specific mRNA codon recognition, and the 3' end, to which the tRNAs corresponding amino acid is attached (by aminoacyl-tRNA synthetases). tRNAs cope with the degeneracy of the genetic code in two manners: having more than one tRNA (with a specific anti-codon) for a particular amino acid; and 'wobble' base-pairing, i.e. permitting non-standard base-pairing at the 3rd anti-codon position.
Source: Rfam by way of RNAcentral
GCCUUCGUGGUGUAAUGGUAGCACACUUGGCUCGUAUUUGAGAGAUCCGAGUUCGAAGCCCGGCGAGAGAA